GACGAACGCUGGCGGCGUGCCUAAUACAUGCAAGUAGAACGCACAGUUUAUACCGUAGCUUGCUACACCAUAAACUGUGAGUUGCGAACGGGUGAGUAACGCGUAGGUAACCUGCCUGGUAGCGGGGGAUAGCUAUUGGAAACGAUAGCUAAUACCGCAUAAUAUUGAUUAUUGCAUGAUAAUUGAUUGAAAGAUGCUAUUGCAUCACUACCAGAUGGACCUGCGUUGUAUUAGCUAGUAGGUGAGGUAACGGCUCACCUAGGCGACGAUACAUAGCCGACCUGAGAGGGUGAUCGGCCACACUGGGACUGAGACACGGCCCAGACUCCUACGGGAGGCAGCAGUAGGGAAUCUUCGGCAAUGGACGAAAGUCUGACCGAGCAACGCCGCGUGAGUGAAGAAGGUUUUCGGAUCGUAAAGCUCUGUUGUAAGAGAAGAACGGGUGUGAGAGUGGAAAGUUCACACUGUGACGGUAUCUUACCAGAAAGGGACGGCUAACUACGUG
RNAcentral lists this ribosomal RNA (505 nucleotides) under uncultured bacterium. Its description in RNAcentral is "partial 16S ribosomal RNA". It matches the Rfam family "Bacterial small subunit ribosomal RNA", at positions 28 to 507 of the family's 1533-position model. The record is from RNAcentral.